UUGGAGGGCAAGUCUGGUGCCAGCAGCCGCGGUAAUUCCAGCUCCAAUAGCGUAUAUUAAAGUUGUUGCAGUUAAAAAGCUCGUAGUUGAAUUUNGGGGUUCUACUGUUGGUCGGGCAAUUGUCUGUACUGGCAUGUGGAAUUUCUACCUUCUGGGGAACCAUCAUGUUAUUAAUUUAGCGUGGUGAGAAACCAGGACCUUUACCUUGAAAAAAUUAGAGUGUUCAAAGCAGGCUUACGUCUGAAUACAUUAGCAUGGAAUAAUAAAAUAGGACGGUGGUCCUGUUUUGUUGGUUUCUGAAUCACCGUAAUGAUUAAUAGGGAUAGUUGGGGGCAUUAGUAUUCAAUUGUCAGAGGUGAAAUUCUUGGAUUUAUUGAAGACUAACUUCUGCGAAAGCAUUUGCCAAGGAUGUUUUCAUUAACCAAGAACGAAAGUUAGGGGAUCGAAGACGAUCAGAUACCGUCGUAGUCUUAACCAUAAACUAUGCCGACUAGGGAUCGGANGAUGUUAAUUUUUCUUGACUCGUUCGGCGCCUUACGGGAAACCAAAGUGUUUGGGU
RNAcentral lists this ribosomal RNA (559 nucleotides) under uncultured Gigaspora. RNAcentral's name for it is "SSU rRNA". It matches the Rfam family "Eukaryotic small subunit ribosomal RNA", at positions 548 to 1112 of the family's 1831-position model. Lineage: Eukaryota; Fungi; Glomeromycota; Glomeromycetes; Diversisporales; Gigasporaceae. The record is from RNAcentral.